ACAUGUUAUAAUUUUUUUAGCAUUUGAACAGGGGUUUAACAUGCCAUUUUUUACCACCACCUCCAACCACAUCAUUUAUAAUUUACCAUUUUAUUAUAUUGUUAUUUGAAUAUAAUAUAUAUAUUUAUACAUGGCUUUUAUUCUCACAACUUUAUGGGAAGUUGUGGCAUGUUUAGUAUUAUUAUAAUAUAUUUUCAAAUACCUUUUGGUGAACAGAGAAUGGUAUAUAUACCAGUUGAACCUUCAAUUUUUGCAGGCCAUGUAAAUUAUACCACUCCCGUUGGAGCAAGUUUUUUUGUUCAAAAAUGGUAAAAAUGUUAAAAUAUA
Molecule: long non-coding RNA, 327 nt
Filed under: Erythranthe guttata (spotted monkey flower)
Lineage: Eukaryota; Viridiplantae; Streptophyta; Magnoliopsida; Lamiales; Phrymaceae
Description: long non-coding RNA (EGUT_LNC001683)
Source: RNAcentral